GAUGAACGCUGGCGGCGUGCCUAAUACAUGCAAGUCGAGCGAACGGACGAGAAGCUUGCUUCUCUGAUGUUAGCGGCGGACGGGUGAGUAACACGUGGAUAACCUACCUAUAAGACUGGGAUAACUUCGGGAAACCGGAGCUAAUACCGGAUAAUAUUUUGAACCGCAUGGUUCAAAAGUGAAAGACGGUCUUGCUGUCACUUAUAGAUGGAUCCGCGCUGCAUUAGCUAGUUGGUAAGGUAACGGCUUACCAAGGCAACGAUGCAUAGCCGACCUGAGAGAGUGGGCGGGCAAGAUGGGCAUGAGGCGCGGCACAGACGCCAACGGGGAGGAGCAAGGGGGGAUCGUUGGGUAAGGGUCGAAGGAUGGAAGAGCAAAGACGGGGGAGUGAUGAAGAGCUUCGGGUUGUAAAGAUCUGUUAAUCGGGACGAAAAGACUUCUUGCGAACAAAGAAAGGGAUUGACGAUACCGGAAUAGAAAGCCACGGCUAACUACGUG
RNAcentral lists this ribosomal RNA (498 nucleotides) under uncultured bacterium. Its description in RNAcentral is "partial 16S ribosomal RNA". It matches the Rfam family "Bacterial small subunit ribosomal RNA", at positions 28 to 507 of the family's 1533-position model. The record is from RNAcentral.